Molecule: ribosomal RNA, 253 nt
Filed under: uncultured bacterium
Lineage: Bacteria
Description: partial 16S ribosomal RNA
Rfam family: Bacterial small subunit ribosomal RNA
Source: RNAcentral
UACGUAGGUGGCGAGCGUUGUCCGGAUUUAUUGGGCGUAAAGAGCUCGUAGGCGGCUUGUUGCGUCGACUGUGAAAACUCGGGGCUUAACUCCGGGCCUGCAGUGGGUACGGGCAGACUAGAGUGCGGUAGGGGAGACUGGAAUUCCUGGUGUAGCGGUGAAAUGCGCAGAUAUCAGGAGGAACACCGGUGGCGAAGGCGGGUCUCUGGGCCGUAACUGACGCUGAGGAGCGAAAGCGUGGGGAGCGAACAGG